RNAcentral lists this ribosomal RNA (454 nucleotides) under Streptococcus mitis. RNAcentral describes it as "bacterial SSU rRNA". It matches the Rfam family "Bacterial small subunit ribosomal RNA", at positions 28 to 468 of the family's 1533-position model. The record is from RNAcentral. Lineage: Bacteria; Bacillati; Bacillota; Bacilli; Lactobacillales; Streptococcaceae.
GACGAACGCUGGCGGCGUGCCUAAUACAUGCAAGUAGAACGCUGAAGGAGGAGCUUGCUCUUCUUGGAUGAGUUGCGAACGGGUGAGUAACGCGUAGGUAACCUGCCUGGUAGCGGGGGAUAACUAUUGGAAACGAUAGCUAAUACCGCAUAAGAGUAGAUGUUGCAUGACAUUUGCUUAAAAGGUGCAAAUGCAUCACUACCAGAUGGACCUGCGUUGUAUUAGCUAGUUGGUGAGGUAACGGCUCACCAAGGCAACGAUACAUAGCCGACCUGAGAGGGUGAUCGGCCACACUGGGACUGAGACACGGCCCAGACUCCUACGGGAGGCAGCAGUAGGGAAUCUUCGGCAAUGGACGGAAGUCUGACCGAGCAACGCCGCGUGAGUGAAGAAGGUUUUCGGAUCGUAAAGCUCUGUUGUAAGAGAAGAACGAGUGUGAGAGGGAAAGUUCACA